AUUGAACGCUGGCGGCAUGCUUUACACAUGCAAGUCGAACGGCAGCGCGGGGCAACCUGGCGGCGAGUGGCGAACGGGUGAGUAAUAUAUCGGAACGUACCCAGAAGUGGGGGAUAACGUAGCGAAAGUUACGCUAAUACCGCAUACGAUCUACGGAUGAAAGUGGGGGACCUUCGGGCCUCAUGCUUUUGGAGCGGCCGAUAUCUGAUUAGCUAGUUGGUGAGGUAAAGGCUCACCAAGGCGACGAUCAGUAGCUGGUCUGAGAGGACGACCAGCCACACUGGGACUGAGACACGGCCCAGACUCCUACGGGAGGCAGCAGUGGGGGAAUUUUACGCAAUGGGGGGAAACCCUGACGUAGCGACACCGCGUGAACGAAGAAGCCCUUUGGGGUGUAAAGUUCUGUCGGCUGGAACGAAAAAAUGACGGUACCAGCAAAGGAAGCAUCGGCUAACUACGUGCCAGCAGCCGCGGUAAU
RNAcentral lists this ribosomal RNA (478 nucleotides) under uncultured bacterium. RNAcentral's name for it is "bacterial SSU rRNA". It matches the Rfam family "Bacterial small subunit ribosomal RNA", at positions 29 to 524 of the family's 1533-position model. The record is from RNAcentral.